Molecule: long non-coding RNA, 406 nt
Organism: Populus trichocarpa (black cottonwood)
Lineage: Eukaryota; Viridiplantae; Streptophyta; Magnoliopsida; Malpighiales; Salicaceae
Exons: 3
Source: RefSeq, a predicted model, not a curated record
UUAUGUCAAAUUUUUUGGUUGCAAAAAUUUUAUAUUAACAAUUUUCUGUAGCACUGAUUUAUAUCAUUUUGCUACUUGGUUGGAGAUAAAACAAACAGCUGAAGGAACACAAGAAGUCCCAGGACUUGUUGAAACUCGGGUGACUGGCACAGAGGAUGUGUGGGAUUUACUCAAGUCUGGAAGUCGGGCCAGGUCUGUUGGAUCAACCAGCGCUAAUGAGCUUAGCAGCCGUUCUCAUUGUUUGUUGCGAGUAACAGUGAAAGGAGUGAAUUUAAUAGAUGGACAAAGGACAAGAAGUCACCUAUGCAUGGUCGAUUUGGCUGGUAGUGAAAGAUUGAUGUUGAAGGUGAAAAGAUUGAAGGAAUCGCAGUUCAUUAAUAAAUCUCUUUCAGCACUUGGUGAUGUU